RNAcentral lists this ribosomal RNA (443 nucleotides) under uncultured bacterium. RNAcentral's name for it is "partial 16S ribosomal RNA". It matches the Rfam family "Bacterial small subunit ribosomal RNA", at positions 338 to 795 of the family's 1533-position model. The record is from RNAcentral.
CCUACGUGCGGCAGCAGUGGGGAAUAUUGGACAAUGGGCGGAACCCUGAUCCAGCGACGCCGCGUGAGUGAAGAAGUAUUUCGGAAUGUAAAGCUCUAUCAGCAGGGAAGAAAGAAAUGACGGUACAUGACUAAGAAGCCCCGGCUAACUACGUGCCAGCAGCCGCGGUAAUACGUAGGGGGCAAGCGUUAUCCGGAUUUACUGGGUGUAAAGGGCGCGUAGACGGCGAGGCAAGUCUGAAGUGAAAGGCGGGGGCCCAACCCCCGGACUGCUUUGGGAACUGUGUGGCUGGAGUGCAGGAGAGGUAAGUGGAAUUCCUAGUGUAGCGGUGAAAUGCGUAGAUAUUAGGAGGAACACCAGUGGCGAAGGCAGAUUACUGGACUGUAACUGACGUUGAGGCUCGAAAGCGGGGGGAGCAAACAGGAUUAGAUACCCGGGUAGUC